UGCGCAGGCGGUUAUAUAAGACAGAUAUGAAAUCCCCGGGCUCAACCUGGGAACUGCAUUUGUGACUGUAUAGCUAGAGUACGGCAGAGGGGGAUGGAAUUCCGCGUGUAGCAGUGAAAUGCGUAGAUAUGCGGAGGAACACCGAUGGCGAAGGCAAUCCCCUGGGCCUGUACUGACGCUCAUGCACGAAAGGCUGGGAGCAAACA
Molecule: ribosomal RNA, 206 nt
Filed under: uncultured bacterium
Lineage: Bacteria
Description: partial 16S ribosomal RNA
Rfam family: Bacterial small subunit ribosomal RNA
Source: RNAcentral